Molecule: ribosomal RNA, 719 nt
Filed under: Lactococcus garvieae
Lineage: Bacteria; Bacillati; Bacillota; Bacilli; Lactobacillales; Streptococcaceae
Description: bacterial SSU rRNA
Rfam family: Bacterial small subunit ribosomal RNA
Source: RNAcentral
ACGAACGCUGGCGGCGUGCCUAAUACAUGCAAGUCGAGCGAUGAUUAAAGAUAGCUUGCUAUUUUUAUGAAGAGCGGCGAACGGGUGAGUAACGCGUGGGAAAUCUGCCGAGUAGCGGGGGACAACGUUUGGAAACGAACGCUAAUACCGCAUAACAAUGAGAAUCGCAUGAUUCUUAUUUAAAAGAAGCAAUUGCUUCACUACUUGAUGAUCCCGCGUUGUAUUAGCUAGUUGGUAGUGUAAAGGACUACCAAGGCGAUGAUACAUAGCCGACCUGAGAGGGUGAUCGGCCACACUGGGACUGAGACACGGCCCAGACUCCUACGGGAGGCAGCAGUAGGGAAUCUUCGGCAAUGGGGGCAACCCUGACCGAGCAACGCCGCGUGAGUGAAGAACGUUUUCGGAUCGUAAAACUCUGUUGUUAGAGAAGAACGUUAAGUAGAGUGGAAAAUUACUUAAGUGACGGUAUCUAACCAGAAAGGGACGGCUAACUACGUGCCAGCAGCCGCGGUAAUACGUAGGUCCCAAGCGUUGUCCGGAUUUAUUGGGCGUAAAGCGAGCGCAGGUGGUUUCUUAAGUCUGAUGUAAAAGGCAGUGGCUCAACCAUUGUGUGCAUUGGAAACUGGGAGACUUGAGUGCAGGAGAGGAGAGUGGAAUUCCAUGUGUAGCGGUGAAAUGCGUAGAUAUAUGGAGGAACACCGGAGGCGAAAGCGGCUCUC